GACGAACGCUGGCGGCGUGCUUAACACAUGCAAGUCGAACGGAAAGGCCCCUUUGGGGGUACUCGAGUGGCGAACGGGUGAGUAACACGUGAGUAACCUGCCCUUGACUUCGGGAUAACUUCAGGAAACUGGGGCUAAUACCGGAUAGGAAUCCUUGCUGCAUGGUGGGGGUUGGAAAGCUUCGGCGGUUUUGGAUGGACUCGCGGCUUAUCAGCUUGUUGGUGGGGUAGUGGCUUACCAAGGCUUUGACGGGUAGCCGGCCUGAGAGGGCGACCGGCCACAUUGGGACUGAGAUACGGCCCAGACUCCUACGGGAGGCAGCAGUGGGGAAUAUUGCACAAUGGGCGGAAGCCUGAUGCAGCAACGCCGCGUGCGGGAUGACGGCCUUCGGGUUGUAAACCGCUUUCAGCAGGGGUGAAGCUUGUGGUGACGGUACCUGCAGAAGAAGCACCGGCUAACUACGUG
This 465-nucleotide ribosomal RNA is filed under the name uncultured bacterium. Its description in RNAcentral is "partial 16S ribosomal RNA". It matches the Rfam family "Bacterial small subunit ribosomal RNA", at positions 28 to 507 of the family's 1533-position model. The record is from RNAcentral.